RNAcentral lists this ribosomal RNA (173 nucleotides) under uncultured bacterium. RNAcentral's name for it is "partial 16S ribosomal RNA". It matches the Rfam family "Bacterial small subunit ribosomal RNA", at positions 1320 to 1500 of the family's 1533-position model. The record is from RNAcentral.
AUGAAGCUGGAUUCGCUAGUAAUCGCGCAUCAGCCACGGCGCGGUGAAUACGUUCCCGGGCCUUGUACGCACCGCCCGUCAAGCCAUGGAAGCCGGGAGUGCCUGAAGUACGCGACCGCAAGGAGCGUCCUAAGGUAAAACCGGUGACUGGGGCUAAGUCGUAACAAGGUAAC